UUUUGAGAAGCAGAGACAGUAGUUGCCUGGCAGGGUGAACAGGAGGCCAAUAUGAUGAGAAAGGAGACAUCCACAAAGGUCUGCUGCCAGUGUUGCUAGAGGCAUGGCAUCUGAGGUCAGGAUCCAUACAUAAUUGAUGCCAUGGGAUAAAAUGACGACUAUAGGAGCAAAUCCUUAUCUGAUCUGCAGGAAGAGAAGCCCAUGAUCAAGACAACUCUGUCUCGGCAGCCAUACUGAAACAGACGUGUGGUCUAUUUCAAUACUUCAUUUAAAGGCUACAUGGUAGCAAAGCAAGCAAGCAAGUCUGAAGAUAAGUC
Long non-coding RNA from Polypterus senegalus (gray bichir), 317 nucleotides. RefSeq lists it as uncharacterized. Lineage: Eukaryota; Metazoa; Chordata; Cladistia; Polypteriformes; Polypteridae. The transcript has 3 exons. The record is from RefSeq and is a predicted model, not a curated record.